This 919-nucleotide ribosomal RNA is filed under the name Acanthocinini sp. IBE JGZ-3838. RNAcentral describes it as "partial large subunit ribosomal RNA". It matches the Rfam family "Eukaryotic large subunit ribosomal RNA", at positions 222 to 876 of the family's 3401-position model. Lineage: Eukaryota; Metazoa; Arthropoda; Insecta; Coleoptera; Cerambycidae. The record is from RNAcentral.
CGUAGCGACCGUCGCCGAUAGCGGGAGGAUCUCUCCUCAGAGUCGGGUUGCUUGAGAGUGCAGCCCUAAGCGGGUGGUAAACUCCAUCUAAGGCUAAAUACGACCACGAGACCGAUAGCGAACAAGUACCGUGAGGGAAAGUUGAAAAGCACUUUGAAGAGAGAGUUCAAGAGUACGUGAAACCGUUCAGGGGUAAACUGAGAAACCCGAAAGGUCGAAAGGGGAAAUUCAUUCGCGUCUCGACAGACGAAGCGAGAGGGUCGAGCGACGGACCGCGUCCGCGCGGUCCGCGCCUUCCUUCCCGCCGUUCGACUUCGAACGCGUGCACUUUUCCCCUCGUAGGACGUCGCGAUCCGUCGGGCGUCGGUCUACGGCUCGCGGUGGAGCCCUGGCGCGCGUCUUUCCGACGUCCGCGCCAGGACCCGCGGUGUCCCGGCCGACUCGCUCGACGGUAUGAGGAUGGCGCGGGGCCGCUACCAUUACGGUUAGCGUCCGGCCCGCGGCAAGCGCGUCCGUAAGUUUGACGGCGAUCGGACCCGGUGCCGGUCCCGUCCUCGGACGGCUGUUGGCCGCGGCGUUCUCGGACAGACCUCGUAAUUUUUUUACGAAACGCCGAUCCGCGACGCUAUAGCUUUGGGUACUUUCAGGACCCGUCUUGAAACACGGACCAAGGAGUCUAGCAUGUGCGCGAGUCAUUGGGACAUAACUAAACCUAAAGGCGCAAUGAAAGUGAAGGUUCGCCUCGCGCGAACCGAGGGAGGAUGGGCGGUUCGUACCGUCGGUGCGGCCGCUCCGCACUCCCGGGGCGUCUCGUUCUCAUCGCGAGAAGAGGCGCACCAAGAGCGUACACGCUGGGACCCGAAAGAUGGUGAACUAUGCCUGGUCAGGACGAAGUCAGGGGAAACCCUGAUGGAGGUCC